UGGGGAAUUUUGCGCAAUGGGCGAAAGCCUGACGCAGCGAUGCCGCGUGAGUGAAGAAGGCCCUUGGGUUGUAAAGCUCUUUCGGCCGAGAAGAAGGGUCUGCCGGCAAAUAGUCGGCGGGUUUGACUGUAUCGGAAGAAGAAGCACCGGCUAACUCCGCGCCAGCAGCCGCGGCAAUACGGAGGGUGCAAGCGUUGCUCGGAAUCAUUGGGCGUAAAGGGCGCGUAGGCGGGCGCAUAAGUCGAUUGUGAAAGCCCCGGGCUUAACCUGGGAACUGCAGUCGAUACUGUGUGUCUUGAGUGCUUGAGAGGGUACUGGAAUUCCUGGUGUAGAAGUGAAAUUCGUAGAUAUCAGGAGGAACACCGGAGGCGAAGGCGGGUACCUGGUGAGCUACUGACGCUGAGGCGCGAAAGUGCGGGGAGCAAACAG
RNAcentral lists this ribosomal RNA (429 nucleotides) under uncultured bacterium. Its description in RNAcentral is "bacterial SSU rRNA". It matches the Rfam family "Bacterial small subunit ribosomal RNA", at positions 355 to 775 of the family's 1533-position model. The record is from RNAcentral.